GUGGGGAAUCUUCCGCAAUGGACGAAAGUCUGACGGAGCAACGCCGCGUGAGUGAUGAAGGUCUUCGGAUUGUAAAGCUCUGUUAAUCGGGACGAAAGAGCCUAGUGUGAAUAAUGCUAGGAAGUGACGGUACCGGAAUAGAAAGCCACGGCUAACUACGUGCCAGCAGCCGCGGUAAUACGUAGGUGGCAAGCGUUGUCCGGAAUUAUUGGGCGUAAAGCGCGCGCAGGCGGAUCUGCCAGUCUGUCUUAAAAGUUCGGGGCUUAACCCCGUGAUGGGAUGGAAACUACAGAUCUAGAGUAUCGGAGAGGAAAGUGGAAUUCCUAGUGUAGCGGUGAAAUGCGUAGAUAUUAGGAAGAACACCAGUGGCGAAGGCGGCUUGCUGGACGACAACUGACGCUGAGGCGCGAAAGCGUGGGGAGCAAACAGGAUUAGAAACCCGUGUAGUCC
Molecule: ribosomal RNA, 450 nt
Filed under: uncultured bacterium
Lineage: Bacteria
Description: partial 16S ribosomal RNA
Rfam family: Bacterial small subunit ribosomal RNA
Source: RNAcentral